RNAcentral lists this ribosomal RNA (301 nucleotides) under uncultured bacterium. RNAcentral's name for it is "partial 16S ribosomal RNA". It matches the Rfam family "Bacterial small subunit ribosomal RNA", at positions 509 to 807 of the family's 1533-position model. The record is from RNAcentral.
CAGUAGCCACGGUAAUACGUAGGUGGCAAGCGUUGUCCGGAAUUAUUGGGCGUAAAGGGCUCGCAGGCGGUUUCUUAAGUCUGAUGUGAAAGCCCCCGGCUCAACCGGGGAGGGUCAUUGGAAACUGGGGAACUUGAGUGCAGAAGAGGAGAGUGGAAUUCCACGUGUAGCGGUGAAAUGCGUAGAGAUGUGGAGGAACACCAGUGGCGAAGGCGACUCUCUGGUCUGUAGCUGACGCUGAGGAGCGAAAGCGUGGGGAGCGAACAGGAUUAGAUACCCCUGUAGUCCCUGUCUCUUAUAC